GACAGGAUAUAGAAUACAAUAUCACUGACAGGAAAUAGAAUACUCUACCUGGACAACAUCACUGACAGGAUAUAGAAUACUCUACCUGGAUAACAUCACUGACAGGAUAUAGAAUACUCUACCUGGACAACAUCACUGACAGGAUAUAGAAUACUCUACCUGGAUAACAUCCCUGACAGGAUAUAGAAUACUCCACCUGGAUAACAUCACUGACAGGAUAUAGAAUACUCUACCUGGAUAACAUCACUGACAGGAUAUAGAAUACUCUACCUGGAUAACAUCACUGACAGGAUAUAGAAUACAACAUCACUGACAGGAUAUAGAAUACUCUACCUGGAUAACAUCCCUGACAGGAUAUAGAAUACACAAUGCAUCUGACACAGAUUUAACUACGUGGACAACAUUACUGACAGAGAUUUAAACCAGGUGGACAACACUGUGUCUGAUAUGGACAGGAGAAAGCAGCACUGCUCUGAUGACCUGCAGAGAGGACAGGAGACAAAGAGACAGAUGUACAGAAGACGUUACUUGAAUCGUCUUCCACAUACACGUGAAUAAUGUAUAGUCAUUUGUAAACCCACUGAUCUUGGUGCCCUUUGCUUAAUGUAUUCAACAUGACCCCGGGACAACUUACUCCUUCUAAGGCUGAGAAACAGGUGUGUGAAAAUAUAUGACAGAUAAUGACAACAAUACGACGGGGGGUUUUCUGUAUGCAGACAUUGAAUAAUAUCAUGUUCUGUAUAGAUAUGACAACAAUACGACGGGGGUUUUCUGUAUGCAGACAUUGAAUAAUAUAAUGUUCUGUAUAGAUAUGACAACAAUACGACGGGGGUUUUCUGUAUGCAGACAUUGAAUAAUAUCAUGUUCUGUAUAGAUAUGACAACAAUACGACGGGGGUUUUCUGUAUGCAGAUAUUGAAUAAUAUCAUGUUCUGUAUAGAUAUGACAACAAUACGACGGGGGGUUUUCUGUAUGCAGACAUUGAAUAAUAUCGUGUUCUGUAUAGAUAUGACAACAAUACGACGGGGGUUUUCUGUAUGCAGACAUUGAAUAAUAUCGUGUUCUGUAUAGAUAUGACAACAAUACGACGGGGGGUUUUCUGUAUGCAGACAUUGAAUAAUAUCAUGUUCUGUAUAGAUAUGACAACAAUACGACGGGGGUUUUCUGUAUGCAGACAUUGAAUAAUAUCAUGUUCUGUAUAGAUAUGACAACAAUACGACGGGGGGUUUUCUGUAUGCAGACAUUGAAUAAUAUAAUGUUCUGUAUAGAUAUGACAACAAUACGACGGGGGUUUUCUGUAUGCAGACAUUGAAUAAUAUAAUGUUCUGUAUAGAUAUGACAACAAUACGACGGGGGUUUUCUGUAUGCAGACAUUGAAUAAUAUCAUGUUCUAUACCAAAACAUAUUCUUGAAAACAAGUACAGCAUGUAAACCAGAAAUAAAGGCAGAUCAUAGUUUUAAUUCUGUGUCAACAAACUGUUCUAAAAAUAUGUAUCUUGUUCUUCUCGGCUCUGUUGGCUGGUGGAGUUGCUUCAUUGUUAAAUCUAUAUUUUUUUUAAAGGUAUGAUAAAUAUAUAUAUAUAUGUUUUAUAUGAAAAAGGGAUUGGUUUAAAACUGGAGAUUUUAUUUGAUAGAUUUAUAACAUUCAAUUAUGUUUGUUUUUUUUUACAUUUCUUUUAUGUUGAUAAAAUGUUUUGCCUUGAUGAGAACAUGGCAGGCAGGUAGAGGGUGACUAAAAACAAAAUGGCUUCCUUUCAAAACAAUCCCGUUCCGUGUUCACGUGCUAAUCGGAACUUGGACAUUUCAGACAUGCUAACUGGUUGUGGUUACACACGCGCCCGCGUUCAACCAGUUAGAAAGUCUGAAUUUCCUAGUUCCGACUAGCAAGUGAACACGGCGUUAAACCCCCCCAUUUUCCGCGCAGGGAUAUGACAUCAUCAGUAUGAAUCUGCUGCAGGUGUUUUGACGAAUGUUUAUAUGUUGUUGUUUAAAAUAAAUUUUUUUUUUUUUUAUCAUUU
This 2017-nucleotide long non-coding RNA is filed under the name Salmo salar (Atlantic salmon). RNAcentral describes it as "lncRNA (ENSSSAG00000121610.1)". Lineage: Eukaryota; Metazoa; Chordata; Actinopteri; Salmoniformes; Salmonidae. The record is from RNAcentral.